Molecule: long non-coding RNA, 851 nt
Organism: Bombus terrestris (buff-tailed bumblebee)
Lineage: Eukaryota; Metazoa; Arthropoda; Insecta; Hymenoptera; Apidae
Exons: 2
Source: RefSeq, a predicted model, not a curated record
GGUGGACUUGGCCAUAAGCUUCAUUGCGUAAUCCUGGAACAUUUUAUUGCGCGUGGGAACGAUGUGUACGUCAUGUACCGCAUCGGUUUUAACAAGGAUGGCCAUCGCCGUGACUGUUUGCGUCCGUGUGUCUUCCGACGAUCAAUAAAAAACGCUCGCCGCGAUUUAUUGAAAGCUCGAACGAGAACCUGCACUGAAUUACCGAACGGUCGACCGACGACGGAUUAAUUACACCCACUUUCACCCUGUCUCGCGGUAAUUAGAGUGUUCUCGUCGCAAAAUUCUUAUUCGAAGGGAAUUCCCGAUGGACCAAGUCCGAAUCAUCUAAACCGAUCGUAUUCGCGAGAGGGACGAGUAGCGAUCGGUUAAAAUCGAAUGCACGGAACGGUUCCAGUUGGCCAGUAGCUACCACCACUUUUGGGAUUAGCGGUGUUUGCAGGAAAAGAGUAUAAAAUGUGCCAGAACCACGGGGGAGAGAGGCGUGUAAUUACCACGAGUGGGCUAUCUACUUAUCUCCGGCUUUCGCGGUCGCUGAAGAGGACCAGCUUGAAGAAGAAAGUAUCUUUUUCGCGGGCAGAGGCCGGCCGUGAAAAGAGUUUACAACACGAACUACGAAAAUGUACGAGUUUCUUCUUGCUGCUAAUAAAAUUCAAUCAAUGCAAUACCGUAUUGGAUACUCGAUAAUACUUACAUACUAAAUUAUCAUGUGAUAUUACUGCUCCAACGCUAACUUAAAUACUAAAUUUUAAACUACAAAAUAUCCAAUUUUGUCUCCCAAGUACAAUUAACCCGGUAAAGAAAUAUGAAACUAACUACUCUAUGUACAUAAAUAGAAAUUAAUUAACGUGUAA